CAGCAGCCGCGGGAAUACGAAGGGUGCAAGCGUUACUCGGAAUUACUGGGCGUAAAGGGCUCGCAGGCGGUUUCUUAAGUCUGAUGUGAAAGCCCCCGGCUCAACCGGGGAGGGUCAUUGGAAACUGGGAAACUUGAGUGCAGAAGAGGAGAGUGGAAUUCCACGUGUAGCGGUGAAAUGCGUAGAGAUGUGGAGGAACACCAGUGGCGAAGGCGACUCUCUGGUCUGUAACUGACGCUGAGGAGCGAAAGCGUGGGGAGCGAACAGGAUUAGAUACCCGUGUAGUCCCUGUCUCUUAUAC
RNAcentral lists this ribosomal RNA (301 nucleotides) under uncultured bacterium. Its description in RNAcentral is "partial 16S ribosomal RNA". It matches the Rfam family "Bacterial small subunit ribosomal RNA", at positions 509 to 807 of the family's 1533-position model. The record is from RNAcentral.